CAUGAAGCUGGAAUCGCUAGUAAUCGCGAAUCAGCAUGUCGCGGUGAAUACGUUCCCGGGUCUUGUACACACCGCCCGUCACACCAUGGGAGUCGGAAACGCCCGAAGCCAGUGACCCAACCGAUAAAACGGAGGGAGCUGUCGAAGGUGGGGCCGGUAACUGGGGUGAAGUCGUAACAAGGUAGC
This 186-nucleotide ribosomal RNA is filed under the name uncultured bacterium. Its description in RNAcentral is "partial 16S ribosomal RNA". It matches the Rfam family "Bacterial small subunit ribosomal RNA", at positions 1319 to 1500 of the family's 1533-position model. The record is from RNAcentral.